GAUGAACGCUGGCGGCGUGCCUAAUACAUGCAAGUCGAGCGAACGGACGAGAAGCUUGCUUCUCUGAUGUUAGCGGCGGACGGGUGAGUAACACGUGGAUAACCUACCUAUAAGACUGGGAUAACUUCGGGAAACCGGAGCUAAUACCGGAUAAUAUUUUGAACCGCAUGGUUCAAAAGUGAAAGACGGUCUUGCUGUCACUUAUAGAUGGAUCCGCGCUGCAUUAGCUAGUUGGUAAGGUAACGGCUUACCAAGGCAACGAUGCAUAGCCGACCUGGGGGGGUGGGUGGGCCACCUGGAACCUGGACCCGCGCCCGGGCCCUGAGGGAGGGCAGCAGUGGGUAAUCUCCGGAAAGGGGGGAAAGCUUGCCGAAGCACCGCCCGGGGGAUGAGGAAGGGCUGCGGGUGGUAAAACUCUUUUUUUGGGGAAAACCGAUUUUGUAAGUAACGGUGCACUUCUGAAGGGAACCUAUAAAGAAGCCCCGGCCAACUUCGUG
RNAcentral lists this ribosomal RNA (497 nucleotides) under uncultured bacterium. Its description in RNAcentral is "partial 16S ribosomal RNA". It matches the Rfam family "Bacterial small subunit ribosomal RNA", at positions 28 to 507 of the family's 1533-position model. The record is from RNAcentral.